ACUCCUACGGGAGGCAGCAGUGGGGAAUAUUGCACAAUGGGCGCAAGCCUGAUGCAGCCAUGCCGCGUGUAUGAAGAAGGCCUUCGGGUUGUAAAGUACUUUCUAGCAGUGAGGAAGGCGGGUGUGUUAAUAGCACAUUCGUUUGACGUUAGCUGCAGAAGAAGCACCGGCUAACCUCCGUGCCAGCAGCCGCGGUAAUACGGAGGGUGCGAGCGUUAAUCGGAAUUACUGGGCGUAAAGCGCAUGCAGGUGGUUUGUUAAGUCAGAUGUGAAAGCCCGGGGCUCAACCUCGGAAUUGCAUUUGAAACUGGCAGACUAGAGUACUGUAGAGGGGGGUAGAAUUUCAGGUGUAGCGGUGAAAUGCGUAGAGAU
Molecule: ribosomal RNA, 372 nt
Filed under: uncultured bacterium
Lineage: Bacteria
Description: bacterial SSU rRNA
Rfam family: Bacterial small subunit ribosomal RNA
Source: RNAcentral